AAUCCCAGCUGAUGAUGCUGAUGAUGGUGCUCAGAGCUACACCAGACUCUGAAUUACCGCAGGAAAGGUCCGUCAAGUGUGCCACAGUAACCAAAUGGAAUUCAGCCAUGAUUUAAUGUUUCCUACUUGACAAUAUCUGCUGUGAAGAAGGCCUAUCAAAGGACAGGGAUUUGCUCCAAUUCAGCCACAAGAGCCUGAGCAAGGUCGGCCGCUGAUGUUGGGUGAUAAGGUGAAGAGGUCAGGAGGCCCGUGCACACCGGAUUUCCCGGCUGUCUCGGAACAUGCUGCCCUGGAUGAUGCGCUUCUCUUCCCGAGCAUGACACACUUACUGGGCUGCAGAGCCGAGCCACGGGACGAGCCACGGGACGAGCCACGGGACACAGACACGAAGAAGCGAAGGAGGAGAUGAAGAUGAGGAUGAGGAGGAUGCGAGGAGAGAGAAAUGUGAUGAUGAUGAUGAUGAAGAGGAGGAGGACAUCAACACUGGGAUACUUGUAGAGACGGAAGCAGAAUGAAGCUCUGCGGGUUUGGAGGGGUGGUGACAGUGAUGAUGAUGAUGACGAUGAUGAAGAUGAUGAUGAUGAAGAUGACGAUGAUGAAGAUGAUGCUCGGACGGUCGGAGUUGAUCAUCGUGCCGGUAAAUCUCCGGUAUCACCGAGAGUUUAAGGAAGCGCUAUUCUGAGGAGGUGGGCCAAGUCCCGGGAGAGACAGACAGAGAGAGAGAGACAGAGAGAGAGAGAGAGACAGAGACAGACA
This is a long non-coding RNA of Larimichthys crocea (large yellow croaker), 756 nucleotides long. RefSeq lists it as uncharacterized. The record is from RefSeq and is a predicted model, not a curated record. Lineage: Eukaryota; Metazoa; Chordata; Actinopteri; Sciaenidae. The transcript has 3 exons.